AAGUUUUUGUAGAUGCACCAAACUUUGAGCAAGGGGAGUCGAAAAGAGAUAUGCCAGUUGAUUACACCACCGUAUAUUCAAAGUCUUAAGACUUUGGAGGUUAACAAGAUGGAUGGGCCCUUUCCAUAUCCACUUCAAUUCUGAUAAUGACUCUAGCUUCAAAGAAGUUAGAUUAGAGAGUAGCUGUACCUGACAUGAAUUCAUUGAUUGAAAACGCAAAUAAAUAUGGAUAAAACGUUACAUACAAAGGCAAUAAUAGUAGUUAUUGAAUAAUAUAUAAUUUAAUAAAGAAUAAAACAAAAGAGAAAAAAAUACAAUGAUUUUAUAAAGUGUACUAAUAAAGAGAAAAAAAAUAUAUAUAUAUAAUGUUAGUUUUCUCAACUUGCAAGUCAUGUAAUAAAUAUACAUUUAGAUUAAUUACUAAUAUAAUUUAAUUAAACUUUAUCUCUUCUAAUCUUCAAUAGAAGUUAAUUAUAUGAGCAAUAUAUAAAGUUUAGCAAUUUCUCAUUAUCCAUUAAAGGAAAAAUGGAGAGAAAACAGAUACCUCAAGCUCUCCCACUUCUUGGGGAAAAUCAAAGACUUGUUCUAAUCUAUUGCACCAAGAUAUUUCAAGUUCUUGUAGAUGCACCAAACUUUGAGCAAGGGGAGUCGAAAAGAGAUAUGCCAGUUGCAUACACCACCGUAUAUUCAAAGUCUUAAGACUUUGGAGGUUAACAAGAUGGAUGGGCCCUUUCCAUAUCCACUUCAAUUCUGAUAAUGACUCUAGCUUCAAAGAAGUUAGAUUAGAGAGUAGCUGUACCUGACAUGAAUUCAUUGAUUGAAAACGCAAAUAAAUAUGGAUAAAACGUUACAUACAAAGGCAAUAAUAGUAGUUAUUGAAUAAUAU
This 886-nucleotide long non-coding RNA is filed under the name Durio zibethinus. RNAcentral's name for it is "long non-coding RNA (DZIB_LNC001983)". Lineage: Eukaryota; Viridiplantae; Streptophyta; Magnoliopsida; Malvales; Malvaceae. The record is from RNAcentral.